UACGAAGGGGGCUAGCGUUGCUCGGAAUCACUGGGCGUAAAGGGCGCGUAGGCGGCCGAUUAAGUCGGGGGUGAAAGCCUGUGGCUCAACCACAGAAUUGCCUUCGAUACUGGUUGGCUUGAGACCGGAAGAGGACAGCGGAACUGCGAGUGUAGAGGUGAAAUUCGUAGAUAUUCGCAAGAACACCAGUGGCGAAGGCGGCUCACUGGCCCGGUACUGACGCUGAGGUGCGAAAGCGUGGGGAGCAAACAGG
Molecule: ribosomal RNA, 253 nt
Filed under: uncultured bacterium
Lineage: Bacteria
Description: partial 16S ribosomal RNA
Rfam family: Bacterial small subunit ribosomal RNA
Source: RNAcentral